Molecule: long non-coding RNA, 2032 nt
Organism: Dermochelys coriacea (leatherback sea turtle)
Lineage: Eukaryota; Metazoa; Chordata; Testudines; Dermochelyidae
Exons: 3
Source: RefSeq, a predicted model, not a curated record
GCCGAGUCUCAUCGCUUCGCCGCCCGGGUCUGACUGCCCGUGGCGCGGCCUGAGGCCGGCCCCGGCCCCCCGAGCGGCGCCGAGGGCGCGGAGCUCUCUGUCCCAGAGCGACGCCUCCCCUUAGCCCCUGCGGCGCCGCUCGCUGGGCGGGGACCUCCCGCCCGGGGGCCGGGCCGUCACGUUCCGCUGGGCGCCGACGCACCCUGUGCAGCCCCGCUGAUUCCCGGCUGCCGGAAAGGGCCGGCACAAAACAGCCCUGGGAUGGGCAGCCCGUGAAAGUCCUCAGCCCACUGUUGUGAGGGGGGCAGGUGCCUCGCGCGGGGAUGUUCACCUCGAAGCUUAGUGGGGCACCCUUUAACCACCUGAGGUGGGCUGGGUAAUGCUGCCGAGGGUGAAGCUCUGCAGCACUCUGCAAACGUAUGUAGUUAGACAGGACUUCACAAGCAGCACCAGUUGUAGACGCCUUCUACCUUUGGAUAUACAAAGGCAAAUCCUUCCUUCAGUGCCUGGCUCUGCUAUAGACUUCUUUAGUACCCUGGGGCACAUCAUUUAAUCUGUCUGUACUUCAAUUUUCUAUCAGUAAAAUGGGUAUAAUAGUUCCUUUGUCUCUUUUAGAUUGUAAACUUUUCUGGGCAUGAACUCUUAAUACAUGUAGUGCAGCUAAUGUGCACUAUAAUAAAGUACCAAAUUUUGUAAAAACAAGCUUUUAUAAAAUUUAAGACCAAUUAUUUAUUUCCAAAAUACAUUAUUCUAAUAAUAUUUUAUCUUGCAACGUUUGAACCCAAACAUCCUAGUAUUAAGAGUGUGGAACUCUCUUUAAACAAAACGGGAAAAGUUUUAUUGACUUUCCUUGUCCCAGAUGGAAGAAAUACAAUAAAGAAACACAGACAAUAAAUAGUGAAAAGAAAACAACAUUUUAAAGAUACUUUCACUUUUCAUAUCUAACUUCUUAAUAAUAUGUAAAGAAAUUUUUAUUUACAGUAUGAUUAAGUUGAUUGCCUUUAUGUAAACACUUUUAUUUUUAAUGGUAAACUUUGCAUACAACAGCAAGAAAGCAGAUCCCUUCUAGAAAUGUUACCACGUUGAACCCACACAUAUUCUGUUGUGCACAUCUUUAUGGGAUUAGGAUGUAUGCUUGUUGAAAGAUGGUAGUUUAGGGUAGUCAUAGUAAUGCCUUUCAAAAAUGCAUUUAGCAUAGCAUUUGUUAUAAAGAAUAAGAAUUCUUAUAAUAGGAUAAUCAUGGAAGAUAAGUUGUUCCUAAAAAAUAUGGGAAAAGAGGUAAUGGCAGUCUGCUUCUUCCUAAAUAAUGGCAUUUUUCAUAGUAAGAUGCAAAAAAUUCAUAUGACUAAAUAAAGAUUCUGUAGUAGAAUGACUCUUGCCUGUUAUGUUGUUACUGAAGAGCUACACUUCGGUAGCCUUGUCAUGUGAUUCUGCAAAGCAGAAAAUAACUUCUCCAUGACAGUACUGUUUUUGCAUCACUGUCAUGAUAGGCUGCAUGGGCUGGAAUUCUUGCAAAGAGACUGGGUUUCUUUCUUUAUCUGGGAUGCCUGCAGUACUAGCAUAGGCAUAAGGAAAGUGAUGCUCCUAAUAAGAGCUGAUUGCACUCCUGUAAAAGAGGAGCAAUAUUUGUAGGAAAGAGUGAAGGGAAUGAAAGAAGGAAAAUGAGGACCACUGGUAAAUACUAAGAUUAAACAUGCAGACUCCAUUAGACCUGUUACCUGGUUCCUACUUCCCAAAAGAGCCCUCUUAGAAGCAGAUACAAGGCAAGUAACUGGUUGGUAAGACCUCAGAAAUAGCUUUCCUUCCAAUAAAAGAUUGUAAAAUCUGAUACUUUUAUUAAUAAUCUGAUGGUUUAAAGGAAAUCAGCCAUUCAGCAUUUUGACUGUCUGGCCUUUUCCAUCAGUUAUUGGACAAAUUGAUAUCAGAUAAUGAUCACCCAUCAUGAGUGACUGAAAAUGAUCCUAUGACAAUUCAAUACAAGUUUCAGAGUAGCAGCCGUGUUAGUCUGUAUUCGCAAAAAGAAAAGGAGUAC